GACGAACGCUGGCGGCACGCUUAACACAUGCAAGUCGAACGGUGAAGAGAAGCUUGCUUCUUGGAUCAGUGGCGGACGGGUGAGUAACACGUGAGCAACCUGCCUUUAAGAGGGGGAUAACGUCCGGAAACGGACGCUAAUACCGCAUAACAUAUGGGAUUCGCAUGUUUUCCAUAUCAAAGAUUUAUCGCUUAGAGAUGGGCUCGCGUCUGAUUAGCUAGUUGGUGAGGUAACGGCUCACCAAGGCGACGAUCAGUAGCCGGACUGAGAGGUUGAACGGCCACAUUGGGACUGAGACACGGCCCAG
Molecule: ribosomal RNA, 307 nt
Filed under: uncultured bacterium
Lineage: Bacteria
Description: bacterial SSU rRNA
Rfam family: Bacterial small subunit ribosomal RNA
Source: RNAcentral